AUUGAACGCUGGCGGCAGGCUUAACACAUGCAAGUCGAGCGGAGCGAGGGUGCUUGCACCUUAGCUUAGCGGCGGACGGGUGAGUAAUGCUUAGGAAUCUGCCUAUUAGUGGGGGACAACAUUCCGAAAGGGAUGCUAAUACCGCAUACGCCCUACGGGGGAAAGCAGGGGAUCUUCGGACCUUGCGCUAAUAGAUGAGCCUAAGUCGGAUUAGCUAGUUGGUGGGGUAAAGGCCUACCAAGGCGACGAUCUGUAGCGGGUCUGAGAGGAUGAUCCGCCACACUGGGACUGAGACACGGCCCAGACUCCUACGGGAGGCAGCAGUGGGGAAUAUUGGACAAUGGGGGGAACCCUGAUCCAGCCAUGCCGCGUGUGUGAAGAAGGCCCUUUUGGUUGUAAA
Molecule: ribosomal RNA, 400 nt
Filed under: Acinetobacter sp. oral taxon C51
Lineage: Bacteria; Pseudomonadati; Pseudomonadota; Gammaproteobacteria; Moraxellales; Moraxellaceae
Description: bacterial SSU rRNA
Rfam family: Bacterial small subunit ribosomal RNA
Source: RNAcentral